GGGUGUUGCUCAAUGGUAGAGCACUUGCCUAGCAUGUGUGAGGCCCUGGGUUCCAUCCCCAGCAUUGCA
RNAcentral lists this transfer RNA (69 nucleotides) under Marmota monax (woodchuck). RNAcentral's name for it is "tRNA.Ala". The stretch from base 4 to 64 matches the Rfam family "tRNA", at positions 6 to 65 of the family's 71-position model. Rfam says of the family: Transfer RNA (tRNA) molecules are approximately 80 nucleotides in length. Their secondary structure includes four short double-helical elements and three loops (D, anti-codon, and T loops). Lineage: Eukaryota; Metazoa; Chordata; Mammalia; Rodentia; Sciuridae. The record is from RNAcentral.